This 2167-nucleotide long non-coding RNA is filed under the name Marmota monax (woodchuck). The record is from RNAcentral. Lineage: Eukaryota; Metazoa; Chordata; Mammalia; Rodentia; Sciuridae.
GUGUACUAAAUUGCUAGCUUGUGUAUGUGUUAGCAGUUUAAGAAUAAUGAUUAUUUUAGUUAUUCCCUCUUAUUAAUGUGUAUAGCAUAGUUUCAAGUAUUUUGGCAGGAGGGAGGGUAUUAUAGUUUGGGGAAAGGAAAAAAGUAGAGAACAUGUUUUUAACCCUAAAGAUAUAUAUUAAGGAUAUAACGCACAAAGAUGUGGAAUAUCUUUGUGGUACAAUGUCACAAAGGAGUAAAUUAAAGAUACAUAGCCAUUGAGAAUCAUCUUUCUAUAUUUUUAUGUACUAAAUGAGAAGAUAAAACAAGUGGGCAAAUAAGACUAUAGCAAAAUAGAUUACAUAAGAAAGAUUACAAAGGUCAACAUUAUGCAAAACAAUGCAUCUUAUUAUUUAUUUACAGUUAUUUUUAUCAUACAUGAAGAAGGAUGCAGGAUGUCUGGAUAGGGGUUGAGGGAUUCAAAGAUGAGUAAGAUAAAGUUAUCUUAAAGAAUAUGUAAUUGAGAUGGAAAGAAAAGAUAAUCACCUAAAAUAAGGUAACUAGCAGUCUAGUAAUCUACAGUAAGGUCGAUUCCAAAAAUAAUAAACAUUUUGUGUUGUGAUGUCCUAUGAUUCGAUCUGUACUAAGGCAAAUAAUUAGUUUCAUUGAUCUUACUCUCUAAUUUGUUGAUUGAAUCAGUCAUAUGUUGUGAAUAAACCAUAGCUUAAACUUUAUACCUAAAUUCUGAAUGAUUUUAGGGGAAAUUGUAGAGGGGAAUUUUUAUUUAAGUUUCCUGUGGUGUUUGAAGUUUUCUGGAAAGAGCGGUAAAAGAUCCUGAAAAGAAAAUUUGAAAUAGAAUUCUAGAAACCAGGUUUUAAAAAUCACUGAUGAUAAUUUGUGUGGUCAAGAUAAGUCACUUCACCUUUCUGGAUUUUUAUUUUCUGGUUUGUGUAAUGAAGUGUUUGGAAGUUCUCUACAACAUUAAAUGCUUAUGUCUACAUUUCAGAAUUGUAAAUUUAAUGGUAGCAGUGAAGUGAUUUGCUUGGAGAAAAUAGGUUUCAUGGGUAUUAAGUGGAGGUGUGGUUGAAUAGCAAGGAGUAGGGGAUCUUGAAGGUAAGUGUGUGGCUUACGUUACUAAUGCCAAGUUCAUUUGAAGGUUUUCCUUUGAUUUGGUAGUCACUAAGAGAUCCAUGAAGCAAUCUACAGAUAUGGUGAGUGAAAAUUUGUGAAUAUCACCUUGGCAGUUAAAUAUAGUUUGACUUAAGGCAAAAAGACCAUCUAGGGGAGUCAGCAAGAUAAAUGCUUUGCUAUAUUAUUUAUUUUUAAUCUUGACAACCUCUCUGAGGUUGAUGUUAUUACCUGACAAUUGAGGGAACCUAGGGAUGGAGAAGAGAUUAUGUGAUUUGCCCACAGUCAGACAGCUACCAAGUGGUAGAACUGGGAUUUGAAUUCAUAUCUGUCUGAGUCCAGGAAUUAGGUGCUGAUCUCAAAACCAUUACCCCACCCCACCCCCAUACUGUUGCUUUUGUUUUAGGGGGUGAUGACAGAAGCCUGGGUUAGAGUAGUGGAAGUUGUGGGGAGAGGGAAGUGCUUUUCUUAUCCCCUUCUUAUUCAGCCUACUGUCUGCAUUCCUACAGAAUCAGCAUCACCUAGGAGUUAUUAGAAGUACUGAAUGUCUGUCCGCACCCAUAAGACCCGUAGGUAUUUGUUAAAGUUUGAGGAGCUCUGUUCUAGAGGCAUUUGUCAUACUGACCCUUGCAGCUGCAAAAAAGGUGAGCCCAACCAUGCAAUUACAUGCAAGGGGUACCCAAUGAGCAUUUGUGACCAGGCAUUGUGCUGGGCGACAUCUUGAAGUAGGUAAAAAAUACUCUCUGUGUCUACCUACCUCUACUUGUUUUUGUCUUGAAACCCUUGCACUGUGGCUUCUUAAGCUGUACAGAGCCCCUUUUCCAAGGCUGCUAUCUGUGGGUUGUUGUCCCAUUUUGGAACUUUUUUCUGGAGAUUCUUUCCUCUCAAACUCUGUUAGGUAAGGCUCUGAUAAAUUACUCCUAGGAAUAUUUGCAUGUUCAUAGGGGCAGUGCCUUUAACCCCAGGGAGUCCAAGCUCCACUUACAGAUCUUUAGGCAUCAGUACAGGCUAGGGGGUAAAGAUGUUAGUUAUUUCAGAGCACCAUCUCUCAUGAGAUUUAG